This is a long non-coding RNA of Aphis gossypii (cotton aphid), 367 nucleotides long. RefSeq lists it as uncharacterized. The record is from RefSeq and is a predicted model, not a curated record. The transcript is spliced from 2 exons. Lineage: Eukaryota; Metazoa; Arthropoda; Insecta; Hemiptera; Aphididae.
GGCAGUUCCUUUGACUUGUGUCACCCUUGGGAACGGCAUCAGUGACAAAUAAUUGUACAAGUAUGCCGAUCCGACGUCAUGGCAAGUAACCACCAGCACCAAAAAUUGGCCAAGUACACUAGUCGUGGGAAUGCGGCUUAAUAGGUAUACCUACAUAAAAUUUAAAUAGAAUCAAUUUUACGUCAAACAAAUUAUGUGCAUCACAUAAUACAAUUAAUUAGUUACUACUGACUGUAUAAGGAUUCAACAUAUUUAAAUAAAAUAGACUACAUCACUAAAAUAGAAGAUUUAAAGAUUUAUACUGUAGCCGAUAGUCUUCGAGGAGGGAAUGAUAUAUUGAUUACCAAAAGUACAUUACUGCUUAUAG